GAGAUCAUACUUCAAAGGAUCAUUUCUUUAGUAUGAAUGCUCAAACCCUUAGCCAACUCGGCGAAGGAACAAACCACGAGGAUGAGACGAAAGCUUCCUCCCCUGAGCGUGAGACGGGCUCAAGUUGACCUCAGGGUCGAUUCGAGUCCACGAUGACCGUUCAGCCUUCUUUUCGGAGGAGGCCGAGGGGGUCGAAGCAGUCUGAGUGGU
Small nucleolar RNA from Folsomia candida, 210 nucleotides. It matches the Rfam family "Small nucleolar RNA U3". From Rfam's summary of the family: Small nucleolar RNAs (snoRNAs) are involved in the processing and modification of rRNA in the nucleolus. There are two main classes of snoRNAs: the box C/D class, and the box H/ACA class. U3 snoRNA is a member of the box C/D class. The record is from Rfam. Lineage: Eukaryota; Metazoa; Arthropoda; Collembola; Entomobryomorpha; Isotomidae.